This 525-nucleotide ribosomal RNA is filed under the name uncultured bacterium. Its description in RNAcentral is "bacterial SSU rRNA". It matches the Rfam family "Bacterial small subunit ribosomal RNA", at positions 20 to 518 of the family's 1533-position model. The record is from RNAcentral.
UGGCUCAGGACGAACGCUGGCGGCGUGCCUAAUACAUGCAAGUCGAACGGUCUUUCUAUGGAAGCUUGCUUCCACUGAGAAGAUAGUGGCGAACGGGUGAGUAACACGUGGGUAACCUGCCCAUAAGAGGGGGAUAACAUCCGGAAACGGGUGCUAAUACCGCAUAGUUUUCUUGAUCGCAUGAUCGGGAAAGGAAAGACGGCCUUUGUGCUGUCGCUUAUGGAUGGACCCGCGGCGUAUUAGUUAGUUGGUGAGGUAACGGCUCACCAAGACGAUGAUACGUAGCCGACCUGAGAGGGUGAUCGGCCACAUUGGGACUGAGACACGGCCCAAACUCCUACGGGAGGCAGCAGUAGGGAAUCUUCCGCAAUGGACGAAAGUCUGACGGAGCAACGCCGCGUGAGUGAAAGAAGGUUUUCGGAUCGUAAAACUCUGUUGUCAGAGAAGAACAAGUUGGAGAGUAACUGCUCCAGCCUUGACGGUAUCUGACCAGAAAGCCACGGCUAACUACGUGCCAGCCGCCGC